RNAcentral lists this ribosomal RNA (914 nucleotides) under uncultured bacterium. Its description in RNAcentral is "bacterial SSU rRNA". It matches the Rfam family "Bacterial small subunit ribosomal RNA", at positions 9 to 915 of the family's 1533-position model. The record is from RNAcentral.
GAGUUUGAUCCUGGCUCAGAUUGAACGCUGGCGGCAUGCCUAACACAUGCAAGUCGAACGGAAACGAUGGGAGCUUGCUCCCAGGCGUCGAGUGGCGGACGGGUGAGUAAUACUUAGGAAUCUACCCAGUAGCGGGGGACAACUCGGGGAAGCUCGAGCUAAUACCGCAUACGCCCUACGGGGGAAAGCAGGGGAUCUUCGGACCUUGCACUAUUGGAUGAGCCUAAGUCGGAUUAGCUUGUUGGUGAGGUAAAGGCUCACCAAGGCGACGAUCCGUAGCUGGUCUGAGAGGACGAUCAGCCACACUGGGACUGAGACACGGCCCAGACUCCUACGGGAGGCAGCAGUGGGGAAUAUUGGACAAUGGGGGCAACCCUGAUCCAGCAAUGCCGCGUGUGUGAAGAAGGCCUGCGGGUUGUAAAGCACUUUCAGUAGAGAAGAAAAGCCUAGGGUUAAUAACCCUGAGUCUUGACGUUACCUACAGAAGAAGCUCCGGCUAACUCCGUGCCAGCAGCCGCGGUAAUACGGAGGGAGCGAGCGUUAAUCGGAAUUACUGGGCGUAAAGCGCGCGUAGGCGGCUUUGUAAGUCGGAUGUGAAAGCCCUGGGCUCAACCUGGGAAUGGCAUUCGAUACUGCAUGGCUAGAGUAUGGUAGAGGGAAGUGGGAUUUCCGGUGUAGCGGUGAAAUGCGUAGAUAUCGGAAGGAACACCGGUGGCGAAGGCGACUUCCUGGGCCAAUACUGACGCUGAGGCGCGAAAGCGUGGGUAGCAAACAGGAUUAGAUACCCUGGUAGUCCACGCCGUAAACGAUGAGAACUAGAUGUCGGGGGAAUCUGUCCUUCGGUGUCGCAGCUAACGCGUUAAGUUCUCCGCCUGGGGAGUACGCCGGCAACGGUAAAACUCAAAGGAAUGACG